CCUACGGGAGGCAGCAGUAGGGAAUAUUGCUCAAUGGGGGCAACCCUGAAGCAGCAACGCCGCGUGGAGGAUGAAGGUUUUCGGAUUGUAAACUCCUUUUGUUAGAGAAGAUAAUGACGGUAUCUACCGAGUAAGCACCGGCUAACUCCGUGCCAGCAGCCGCGGUAAUACGUAGGGUGCAAUCGUUACUCUGAUUCCCUGGGCGUAAAGAGCGCGUAGGCGGGAUAGCAAGUCAGAUGUGAAAUCCUAUGGCUUAACCAUAGAACUGCAUUUGAAACUGUUAUUCUAGAGUACGGGAGAGGCAGGUGGAAUUCGUGGUGUAGGGGUAAAAUACGUAGAGAUAAAGAGGAAGACUAAUGGCGAAGGCGAAUUGCUAGACCAUAACUGACGCUGAUGCGCGAAAGCGUGGGGAGCAAACAGGAUUAGAUACCCUUGUAGUC
RNAcentral lists this ribosomal RNA (440 nucleotides) under uncultured bacterium. RNAcentral's name for it is "partial 16S ribosomal RNA". It matches the Rfam family "Bacterial small subunit ribosomal RNA", at positions 338 to 795 of the family's 1533-position model. The record is from RNAcentral.